This 775-nucleotide ribosomal RNA is filed under the name uncultured archaeon. RNAcentral's name for it is "bacterial SSU rRNA". It matches the Rfam family "Archaeal small subunit ribosomal RNA", at positions 5 to 638 of the family's 1478-position model. The record is from RNAcentral.
CGGUUGAUCCUGCCGGAGGUCACUGCUAUCGGGGUUCGAUUAAGCCAUGCGAGUCGAGAGGGUUCGGCCCUCGGCGUACUGCUCAGUAACACGUGGAUAACCUGCCCUAGGGAAGGGGAUAACCCCGGGAAACUGGGGAUAAUACCCUAUAGAUUACAGAUGCUGGAAUGCCCUGUAAUCCAAAGUUCCGACGCCCUAGGAUGGAUCUGCGGCCGAUUAGGUUGUUGUUGGGGUAAUGGCCCAACAAGCCCGUAAUCGGUACGGGUUGUGGGAGCAAGAGCCCGGAGUUGGAUUCUGAGACACGAAUCCAGGCCCUACGGGGCGCAGCAGGCGCGAAAACUUUACAAUGCGGGCAACCGUGAUAAGGGAACCUCGAGUGCCUGUAAAUGCAGGCUGUUCAGGUGCCUAAAACACACCUGAAGAAAGGGCCGGGCAAGACCGGUGCCAGCCGCCGCGGUAAUACCGGCGGCUCGAGUGGUGGCCGCUUUUAUUGGGCUUAAAGCGUUCGUAGCUGGGUUGUUAAGUCUCUUGGGAAAUCUGGCGGCUUAACCGUCAGGCGUCUAAGGGAUACUGGCAAUCUUGGAACCGGGAGAGGUGAGGGGUACUUCGGGGGUAGGGUAGUACACAUUGAAGUAAUCGUAUUCACCGUCAGCGGCCGAGGUACCUCCUCUUGACCGAAUUUGCCAUAUCUCGCCAAACUUCCUUCGGCCGAAGCCUCGACUUACUAAUGCAGCGUAACUUAACUCAAAUACAUCAUCUUUAGUUAAACAACUGU